This 77-nucleotide transfer RNA is filed under the name Methylophilus sp. Its description in RNAcentral is "tRNA-Asp". It matches the Rfam family "tRNA". Rfam says of the family: Transfer RNA (tRNA) molecules are approximately 80 nucleotides in length. Their secondary structure includes four short double-helical elements and three loops (D, anti-codon, and T loops). Further hydrogen bonds mediate the characteristic L-shaped molecular structure. tRNAs have two regions of fundamental functional importance: the anti-codon, which is responsible for specific mRNA codon recognition, and the 3' end, to which the tRNAs corresponding amino acid is attached (by aminoacyl-tRNA synthetases). tRNAs cope with the degeneracy of the genetic code in two manners: having more than one tRNA (with a specific anti-codon) for a particular amino acid; and 'wobble' base-pairing, i.e. permitting non-standard base-pairing at the 3rd anti-codon position. The record is from RNAcentral. Lineage: Bacteria; Pseudomonadati; Pseudomonadota; Betaproteobacteria; Nitrosomonadales; Methylophilaceae. RNAcentral also lists the same sequence under 4 other names.
GGAGUGGUAGUUCAGUUGGUUAGAAUGCCUGCCUGUCACGCAGGAGGUCGCGGGUUCGAGUCCCGUCCGCUCCGCCA